ACUUAACUAUGUAUUAAUUUAAAAGCUUUUUCUAAAACUUUUACUUUGCUACGACUUAUCUCAUUUCUGAGAGUGACGGACAAUAUGUACACAUUUUAAAACCUCUUCUCAAUUUCUUUUUUUAAUACUUGCAAAUCCUAUAUUUUAACUUUAAUAAACUUGUCAAUUGUAACUAAAAUUACCUUAAUUAUCUAUGCAUGUCAUCUGAUUUAAAACUUAUAAUUUAAUAUUUAUUUUAACAACCACACACAAAAUAAAAUUAAGUGAGAAUAAAAGRGGAGUAUCUAAUUAAUAUUCAAGUUCCUCUGCAAGGGGUAAAAUACUGCCAUGUUAUUUAGGUUUAGAGAUUAAUCUUUUAAUACCUUAAAAAAUUUAAUUUAAUCAUAAUGGGCYACUAACCCCAGUUUUAUGUAGAACUUUAAUAUUCCCAAUAAAAAAAUAGAUAAUAUUAUUUCACAACUAAUAUACUUUAUUUUUCUAUAAAUUUUGAGAUACAAUUAUUAACUUAUUUUCAAG
This 516-nucleotide ribosomal RNA is filed under the name Neocalanus flemingeri. Its description in RNAcentral is "partial small subunit ribosomal RNA". The record is from RNAcentral. Lineage: Eukaryota; Metazoa; Arthropoda; Copepoda; Calanoida; Calanidae.